This 2905-nucleotide ribosomal RNA is filed under the name Salmonella enterica subsp. enterica serovar Stanley. RNAcentral describes it as "bacterial LSU rRNA". It matches the Rfam family "Bacterial large subunit ribosomal RNA". The record is from RNAcentral. Lineage: Bacteria; Pseudomonadati; Pseudomonadota; Gammaproteobacteria; Enterobacterales; Enterobacteriaceae.
UUAAGCGACUAAGCGUACACGGUGGAUGCCCUGGCAGUCAGAGGCGAUGAAGGGCGUGCUAAUCUGCGAUAAGCGCCGGUAAGGUGAUAUGAACCGUUAUAACCGGCGAUACCCGAAUGGGGAAACCCAGUGUGAUUCGUCACACUAUCAUUAACUGAAUCCAUAGGUUAAUGAGGCGAACCGGGGGAACUGAAACAUCUAAGUACCCCGAGGAAAAGAAAUCAACCGAGAUUCCCCCAGUAGCGGCGAGCGAACGGGGAGGAGCCCAGAGCCUGAAUCAGCAUGUGUGUUAGUGGAAGCGUCUGGAAAGUCGCGCGAUACAGGGUGACAGCCCCGUACACAAAAGCGCAUGUGUUGUGAGCUCGAUGAGUAGGGCGGGACACGUGGUAUCCUGUCUGAAUAUGGGGGGACCAUCCUCCAAGGCUAAAUACUCCUGACUGACCGAUAGUGAACCAGUACCGUGAGGGAAAGGCGAAAAGAACCCCGGCGAGGGGAGUGAAAAAGAACCUGAAACCGUGUACGUACAAGCAGUGGGAGCACAGGUUUACCUGUGUGACUGCGUACCUUUUGUAUAAUGGGUCAGCGACUUAUAUUCUGUAGCAAGGUUAACCGUAUAGGGGAGCCGGAGGGAAACCGAGUCUUAAUUGGGCGUUAAGUUGCAGGGUAUAGACCCGAAACCCGGUGAUCUAGCCAUGGGCAGGUUGAAGGUUGGGUAACACUAACUGGAGGACCGAACCGACUAAUGUUGAAAAAUUAGCGGAUGACCUGUGGCUGGGGGUGAAAGGCCAAUCAAACCGGGAGAUAGCUGGUUCUCCCCGAAAGCUAUUUAGGUAGCGCCUCGUGAAUUCAUCUCCGGGGGUAGAGCACUGUUUCGGCUAGGGGGCCAUCCCGGCUUACCAACCCGAUGCAAACUGCGAAUACCGGAGAAUGUUAUCACGGGAGACACACGGCGGGUGCUAACGUCCGUCGUGAAGAGGGAAACAACCCAGACCGCCAGCUAAGGUCCCAAAGUCAUGGUUAAGUGGGAAACGAUGUGGGAAGGCCCAGACAGCCAGGAUGUUGGCUUAGAAGCAGCCAUCAUUUAAAGAAAGCGUAAUAGCUCACUGGUCGAGUCGGCCUGCGCGGAAGAUGUAACGGGGCUAAACCAUGCACCGAAGCUGCGGCAGCGACACUGUGUGUUGUUGGGUAGGGGAGCGUUCUGUAAGCCUGUGAAGGUGUGUCGUGAGGCAUGCUGGAGGUAUCAGAAGUGCGAAUGCUGACAUAAGUAACGAUAAAGCGGGUGAAAAGCCCGCUCGCCGGAAGACCAAGGGUUCCUGUCCAACGUUAAUCGGGGCAGGGUGAGUCGACCCCUAAGGCGAGGCCGAAAGGCGUAGUCGAUGGGAAACGGGUUAAUAUUCCCGUACUUGGUGUUACUGCGAAGGGGGGACGGAGAAGGCUAUGUUGGCCGGGCGACGGUUGUCCCGGUUUAAGCGUGUAGGUGUGUGUUCCAGGUAAAUCCGGUUCACUUUAACACUGAGGCGUGACGACGAGGCACUACGGUGCUGAAGCAACAAAUGCCCUGCUUCCAGGAAAAGCCUCUAAGCAUCAGGUAACAUCAAAUCGUACCCCAAACCGACACAGGUGGUCAGGUAGAGAAUACCAAGGCGCUUGAGAGAACUCGGGUGAAGGAACUAGGCAAAAUGGUGCCGUAACUUCGGGAGAAGGCACGCUGACACGUAGGUGAAGUGAUUUACUCAUGGAGCUGAAGUCAGUCGAAGAUACCAGCUGGCUGCAACUGUUUAUUAAAAACACAGCACUGUGCAAACACGAAAGUGGACGUAUACGGUGUGACGCCUGCCCGGUGCCGGAAGGUUAAUUGAUGGGGUCAGCGCAAGCGAAGCUCCUGAUCGAAGCCCCGGUAAACGGCGGCCGUAACUAUAACGGUCCUAAGGUAGCGAAAUUCCUUGUCGGGUAAGUUCCGACCUGCACGAAUGGCGUAAUGAUGGCCAGGCUGUCUCCACCCGAGACUCAGUGAAAUUGAACUCGCUGUGAAGAUGCAGUGUACCCGCGGCAAGACGGAAAGACCCCGUGAACCUUUACUAUAGCUUGACACUGAACAUUGAGCCUUGAUGUGUAGGAUAGGUGGGAGGCUUUGAAGCGUGGACGCCAGUCUGCGUGGAGCCGACCUUGAAAUACCACCCUUUAAUGUUUGAUGUUCUAACGUGGACCCGUGAUCCGGGUUGCGGACAGUGUCUGGUGGGUAGUUUGACUGGGGCGGUCUCCUCCUAAAGAGUAACGGAGGAGCACGAAGGUUGGCUAAUCCUGGUCGGACAUCAGGAGGUUAGUGCAAUGGCAUAAGCCAGCUUGACUGCGAGCGUGACGGCGCGAGCAGGUGCGAAAGCAGGUCAUAGUGAUCCGGUGGUUCUGAAUGGAAGGGCCAUCGCUCAACGGAUAAAAGGUACUCCGGGGAUAACAGGCUGAUACCGCCCAAGAGUUCAUAUCGACGGCGGUGUUUGGCACCUCGAUGUCGGCUCAUCACAUCCUGGGGCUGAAGUAGGUCCCAAGGGUAUGGCUGUUCGCCAUUUAAAGUGGUACGCGAGCUGGGUUUAGAACGUCGUGAGACAGUUCGGUCCCUAUCUGCCGUGGGCGCUGGAGAACUGAGGGGGGCUGCUCCUAGUACGAGAGGACCGGAGUGGACGCAUCACUGGUGUUCGGGUUGUCAUGCCAAUGGCACUGCCCGGUAGCUAAAUGCGGAAGAGAUAAGUGCUGAAAGCAUCUAAGCACGAAACUUGCCCCGAGAUGAGUUCUCCCUGAGACUUAGAGUCUCCUGAAGGAACGUUGAAGACGACGACGUUGAUAGGCCGGGUGUGUAAGCGCAGCGAUGCGUUGAGCUAACCGGUACUAAUGAACCGUGAGGCUUAACCUU